Salvia hispanica is the source of this 1481-nucleotide non-coding RNA. The record is from RefSeq and is a predicted model, not a curated record. Lineage: Eukaryota; Viridiplantae; Streptophyta; Magnoliopsida; Lamiales; Lamiaceae.
AUUGGGACGUUGUAGCCGUCGUUCUUCUGCAUGCAGGCACAUGUGAAGUAAUCAGCCUUGGCUUGAUAUUGCUGCAGUGUGGAAGUGUAUGCUCCUCCACCUCCAUCCAUCAAUACCUACACACAUUUCAGACCACAAGAACAAUCUGAACUCCAGCAUACUUGUUGUCCCAAGAGAACUCCUUCACAGCCCAUCCAGUUCCACCCAAUGACUCACAGUUUUCGACGACAUAUUUCAGAUAAUACUCGUCAUUUGUAGCGCGAUACAGCCACGUUGCAGCCCACAGCAGCUCAUCCUAGGAUGCAAAAGUGCCAGAGUCAGUUCAAGAAACACAACAUUUUUUGAAGAAAAAAUAAUCUUGGAGAUGGAUUCAAACACAUACUGAAUAACCAGUUGAUGUAUAGAACUGCUUUGCACAUGGAACAGAAUCAUGGUAAAAGCCUCUGAAUCUGUCUGCAAAUGAGAAAAGCUGCUUAGCAUGCACUAGCAGAAGGUCAGAGUAGGCGGAAUCAUAAGGCUUGAAGGCAAGGCAGGCAGCGGCCAGGGCAGCAGCGGUUUCUCCCGCGAGGUCCGACCCGGGAUGCUCGGGAUCCAGCUUGUACGCCGUCCUUGGGCUUGUCAUAUCCUCUGCACGCUCCCAGCAGUAAUGGUCCGACACUCCGUCUCCGACCUGCCAUUGUCAGAACCGGAAAGAAGUAGUUGUAAAGUUGUCACACAUGCGGUCUAGUCGGUGGAGUGACGAGCUUAUGAUCAUAAAAUAGUGUAGGAUUGUGUACCUGUCCCCAAAGAACAUUAGGCUGAGGAUGAGCUUUUAUGAAGUAAUCUGUGCCCCAUUUGAUGGCUUCCAAAGUGGGUCCCAUUUGAUUGGACUUCACCAACUCUGUCUUGAAAUCAACGGCGCUCCACGACAGCAUCGUCGAAGCGAACGCCAUGGGCAGCCCGAACUUUACAUGAUCUCCCCCAUCGUAAUAUCCUCCAACCAAGUUCACCUGUUAAUGUAGAGAAAACGUGUUUUAUGUUUAUGCGCUUACUCGUAUUUUCGCACCCAAAAGAAGAUUAGAUUGUGUGAAGUCUAAGGUACGAACCCCUUGGCCAUGACCGUCGCCAAGGCCUGAGUCACCGCGCCAUUUUACAUGCUGGUUCGCAGGUAGUUUACCCGACCGUUGUGCCUCGAAGAACAACAAAGUCUUGCUGAGGGCGUCACCGUAGUCGAAUGCAGAGAUGAUGGUUGGGUGGAGGGAAAGUAAGGCAGCGAGCAAGGGCAGUAUGUAACGUGAUCGUGAUGAUGACUCUCUCAUCAUCUUGUUUUGUAUUGAGCAAGCUAAUGAGAUGAUCAAUUCUAUGUACGAUAUAUAUGAAUCAUCUCUCUCUAUAUAGUUUGAAUAUUAUUAGUCAUUUAUUUUGUAAUUAGAUACGAAACAUAAUGAACUAUUUGAUUCAUGAUAUGAGCAGAGAGUCAUGGUAGCAUCCACGUUCUUUGA